RNAcentral lists this ribosomal RNA (477 nucleotides) under Triticum aestivum (bread wheat). RNAcentral describes it as "partial small subunit ribosomal RNA". Lineage: Eukaryota; Viridiplantae; Streptophyta; Magnoliopsida; Poales; Poaceae. The record is from RNAcentral.
AUGGUCUCCAAAUGCAAACAUAAGAAAGAAGCCCAACUGUCUGUCCCCACGCCCACGGCAUACCCUUCGUUUCCACCUCCCGACCGGGGCGGCGGCCUGCCCAGGCCGACAGAGGCGCCGCGGCCGUACGAGCUGGUGUUCGCGGAGGCGGAGCUCCGCUCCAUGGACUGCAACCUCUCGACGCUCUGCGACAACGUCCAGGCAGAGGGAUUCGGCUCUAGCGGCUUCUCCAAUGCCGUUGUCAAGGCCAUGGGCGUCACCUACCGUCUUCACCGUCUCCUCAUCUCCCGCAACACCUAUUUUAGGUGGGCUUCCUUCUCGAAUAUAGAUGCGGCGACCGAGUAUUUAGGAUUCCAUAUACUGUCAAUGCAUCAGUACGUCUAUUGGGCUGCGCCGUGUGGAUGUUUCAGUAUGUCUCAUCCCCUCCCUUCAGCAAGCAGCACACUAUACAUGAGGAGAUUGACCCCAAAGUCCUAA